RNAcentral lists this ribosomal RNA (497 nucleotides) under uncultured bacterium. RNAcentral's name for it is "partial 16S ribosomal RNA". It matches the Rfam family "Bacterial small subunit ribosomal RNA", at positions 28 to 507 of the family's 1533-position model. The record is from RNAcentral.
GACGAACGCUGGCGGCGUGCCUAAUACAUGCAAGUUGAGCGAUGAAGAUUGGUGCUUGCACCAAUUUGAAGAGCAGCGAACGGGUGAGUAACGCGUGGGGAAUCUGCCUUUGAGCGGGGGACAACAUUUGGAAACGAAUGCUAAUACCGCAUAACAACUUUAAACAUAAGUUUUAAGUUUGAAAGAUGCAAUUGCAUCACUCAAAGAUGAUCCCGCGUUGUAUUAGCUAGUUGGUGAGGUAAAGGCUCACCAAGGCGAUGAUACAUAGCCGACCUGAGAGGGUGAUCGGCCAAAUUGGGACUGAGACACGGCCCAAACUCCUACGGGAGGCAGUAGUAGGGAAUCUUCGGCAAUGGACGAAAGUCUGACCGAGCAACGCCGCGUGAGUGAAGAAGGUUUUCGGAUCGUAAAACUCUGUUGGUAGGGAAGAACGUUGGUGAGAGUGGAAAGCUCAUCAAGUGACGGUAACUACCCAGAAAGGGACGGCUAACUACGUG